RNAcentral lists this non-coding RNA (289 nucleotides) under Daucus carota subsp. sativus. Lineage: Eukaryota; Viridiplantae; Streptophyta; Magnoliopsida; Apiales; Apiaceae. The record is from RNAcentral.
UAUCUUAGUAGCGUGAGCCGGUAACUCGAGCGAGAGCUUUAAGCUGGUUGGAGUUUGGCUUGGUCCAGAGGGUCGGGCUCUGCUGGGUAAUGCACAGGCAUGCCCAUCUCAAGUAUAGAGUUGGCUCAUGGUCACUUAGCGAAGGCUUUGUGGUCCUGGUCAAUAAUGUGGAAGGCACUCCAGUUAGGCUGGUUGAAACCAGAGCAGCGAUCACUUUCCUCUCUUGGGCGUGAGCCUGUAACUGGAGCGAGAUUUUUAAGCUUAGUAUGAUAUUUUCUACACCUGAUUG